GAAGAAGGCCUUCGGGUUGUAAAGCUCUUUGUCAGGGAAGAAACACCGGCUCUAACACAGUCCGGGAAUGACGGUACCUGAAGAAUAAGCACCGGCUAACUACGUGCCAGCAGCCGCGGUAAUACGUAGGGUGCGAGCGUUAAUCGGAAUUACUGGGCGUAAAGCGUGCGCAGGCGGUUAUACAAGACAGGCGUGAAAUCCCCGGGCUUAACCUGGGAAUGGCGCCUGUGACUGUAUAGCUAGAGUGUGUCAGAGGGGGGUAGAAUUCCACGUGUAGCAGUGAAAUGCGUAGAUAUGUGGAGGAAUACCAAUGGCGAAGGCAGCCCCCUGGGAUAACACUGACGCUCAUGCACGAAAGCGUGGGGAGCAAACAGGAUUAGAUACCCUGGUAGUCCACGCCCUAAACGAUGCUGACUAGUUGUUCGGGAUUUACAUCCUGAGUAACGUAGCUAACGCGUGAAGUCAGCCGCCUGGGGAGUACGGUCGCAAGAUUA
This 494-nucleotide ribosomal RNA is filed under the name uncultured beta proteobacterium. RNAcentral describes it as "bacterial SSU rRNA". It matches the Rfam family "Bacterial small subunit ribosomal RNA", at positions 407 to 896 of the family's 1533-position model. The record is from RNAcentral. Lineage: Bacteria; Pseudomonadati; Pseudomonadota; Betaproteobacteria.